UUCCAGACUCCUACGGGAGGCAGCAGUGGGGAAUAUUGCACAAUGGGGGAAACCCUGAUGCAGCGACGCCGCGUGAGUGAAGAAGUAUUUCGGUAUGUAAAGCUCUAUCAGCAGGGAAGAAAAAAGACGGUACCUGACUAAGAAGCCCCGGCUAACUACGUGCCAGCAGCCGCGGUAAUACGUAGGGGGCAAGCGUUAUCCGGAAUUACUGGGUGUAAAGGGUGCGUAGGUGGCAUGGUAAGUCAGAAGUGAAAGCCCGGGGCUUAACCCCGGGACUGCUUUUGAAACUGUCAUGCUGGAGUGCAGGAGAGGUAAGCGGAAUUCCUAGUGUAGCGGUGAAAUGCGUAGAUAUUAGGAGGAACACCAGUGGCGAAGGCGGCUUACUGGACUGUCACUGACACUGAUGCACGAAAGCGUGGGGAGCAAACAGGAUUAGAUACCCCUGUAAG
RNAcentral lists this ribosomal RNA (449 nucleotides) under uncultured bacterium. RNAcentral's name for it is "bacterial SSU rRNA". It matches the Rfam family "Bacterial small subunit ribosomal RNA", at positions 329 to 793 of the family's 1533-position model. The record is from RNAcentral.